RNAcentral lists this ribosomal RNA (484 nucleotides) under uncultured bacterium. RNAcentral describes it as "partial 16S ribosomal RNA". It matches the Rfam family "Bacterial small subunit ribosomal RNA", at positions 28 to 507 of the family's 1533-position model. The record is from RNAcentral.
AUUGAACGCUGGCGGCAUGCUUUACACAUGCAAGUCGAACGGCAGCGCGGGCUUCGGCCUGGCGGCGAGUGGCGAACGGGUGAGUAAUGCAUCGGAACGUGCCCAGUAGUGGGGGAUAGCCCGGCGAAAGCCGGAUUAAUACCGCAUACGACCUGAGGGUGAAAGCGGGGGACCGAAAGGCCUCGCGCUAUUGGAGCGGCCGAUGUCGGAUUAGCUAGUUGGUGGGGUAAAGGCUUACCAAGGCGACGAUCCGUAGCUGGUCUGAGAGGACGACCAGCCACACUGGGACUGAGACACGGCCCAGACUCCCACGGGAGGCAGCAGUGGGGAAUUUUGGACGAUGGGGGCAACCCUGAUCCAGCCAUGCCGCGUGCGGGAAGAAGGCCUUCGGGUUGUAAACCGCUUUUGUUCGGGAAGAAAUCCUCUGGGCUAAUACCCCGGGGGGAUGACGGUACCGGAAGAAUAAGCACCGGCUAACUACGUG